AACACGUAUGCCAACCUGCCCUUUACUCGGGGAUAGCCUUUCGAAAGAAAGAUUAAUACCCGAUGGCAUAAUGAUUCCGCAUGGUUUCAUUAUUAAAGGAUUCCGGUAAAGGAUGGGGAUGCGUUCCAUUAGGUUGUUGGUGAGGUAACGGCUCACCAAGCCUUCGAUGGAUAGGGGUUCUGAGAGGAAGGUCCCCCACAUUGGAACUGAGACACGGUCCAAACUCCUACGGGAGGCAGCAGUGAGGAAUAUUGGUCAAUGGGCGCUAGCCUGAACCAGCCAAGUAGCGUGAAGGAUGAAGGCUCUAUGGGUCGUAAACUUCUUUUAUAUAAGAAUAAAGUGCAGUAUGUAUACUGUUUUGUAUGUAUUAUAUGAAUAAGGAUCGGCUAACUCCGUGCCAGCAGCCGCGGUAAUACGGAGGAUCCGAGCGUUAUCCGGAUUUAUUGGGUUUAAAGGGAGCGUAGGUGGACUGGUAAGUCAGUUGUGAAAGUUUGCGGCUCAACCGUAAAAUUGCAGUUGAUACUGUCAGUCUUGAGUACAGUAGAGGUGGGCGGAAUUCGUGGUGUAGCGGUGAAAUGCUUAGAUAUCACGAAGAACUCCGAUUGCGAAGGCAGCUCACUGGACUGCAACUGACACUGAUGCUCGAAAGUGUGGGUAUCAAACAGGAUUAGAUACCCUGGUAGUCCACACAGUAAACGAUGAAUACUCGCUGUUUGCGAUAUACAGUAAGCGGCCAAGCGAAAGCAUUAAGUAUUCCACCUGGGGAGUACGCCGGCAACGGUGAAACUCAAAGGAAUUGACGGGGGGCCCGCACAAGCGGAGGAACAUGUGGUUUAAUUCGAUGAUACGCGAGGAACCUUAUCCGGGCUUAAAUUGCAGUGGAAAUGAUGUGGGAAACAUGUCAGUGAGCAAUCACUCGCUGUGACGU
This 928-nucleotide ribosomal RNA is filed under the name Bacteroides fragilis. RNAcentral describes it as "bacterial SSU rRNA". It matches the Rfam family "Bacterial small subunit ribosomal RNA", at positions 112 to 1038 of the family's 1533-position model. Lineage: Bacteria; Pseudomonadati; Bacteroidota; Bacteroidia; Bacteroidales; Bacteroidaceae. The record is from RNAcentral.